UACGUAGGUGGCGAGCGUUAUCCGGAAUGAUUGGGCGUAAAGGGUGCGUAGGCGGGCAUUUAAGCCGGCGGUCAAAUGUCGGGGCUCAACCCCGGCCUGCCGUCGGAACUGGGUGCCUUGAGUGGGCGAGAAGUAUGCGGAAUGCGUGGUGUAGCGGUGAAAUGCAUAGAUAUCACGCAGAACCCCGAUUGCGAAGGCAGCAUACCGGUGCACAACUGACGCUCAGGCACGAAAGCGUGGGGAGCAAAUAGG
RNAcentral lists this ribosomal RNA (252 nucleotides) under uncultured Bacteroidales bacterium. RNAcentral describes it as "partial 16S ribosomal RNA". It matches the Rfam family "Bacterial small subunit ribosomal RNA", at positions 524 to 776 of the family's 1533-position model. Lineage: Bacteria; Pseudomonadati; Bacteroidota; Bacteroidia; Bacteroidales. The record is from RNAcentral.